GGAGAGAUGGCCGAGUGGCUGAAGGCGCUCGCCUGCUAAGCGAGUAGGCUGGGAAACCGGCCUCGAGGGUUCGAAUCCCUCUCUCUCCGCCA
Molecule: transfer RNA, 92 nt
Filed under: Nitrospinota bacterium
Lineage: Bacteria; Pseudomonadati; Nitrospinota
Description: tRNA-Ser
Rfam family: tRNA
About the family: Transfer RNA (tRNA) molecules are approximately 80 nucleotides in length.
Source: RNAcentral